UUCUGGUUGAUCCUGGCGGAGGUCACUGCUAUUGGGAUUCGACUAAGCCAUGCGAGUCGAGAGGGUUCGGCCCUCGGCUGACUGCUCAGUAACACGUGGAUAAUUUGCCCUAAGGUGGAGGAUAACCUCGGGAAACUGAGAAUAAUACUCCAUAGGUCUAAGAUACUGGAAUGUUCUUAGACUAAAAACUCCGGUGCCUUAGGAUAAGUCUGCGGACUAUCAGGUUGUAGUCAGGGUAAAGACCUGACUAGCCUAUGACGGAUAUGGGUUGUGGGAGCAAUAACCCAGAGAUGAUAUCUGAGACACGAUAUCAGGCCCUACGGGGCGCAGCAGGCGCGAAAACUUCACACUGCGCGAAAGCGCGAAGAGGGAAUCCCAAGUGCUUGCACGUAAGUGUAAGCUGUUUCUUUGUUUAAAAAGCAUAGAGAGUAAGGGCUGGGUAAGACGGGUGCCAGCCGCCGCGGUAAUACCUGCAGCUCAAGUGGUGAUCGUUAUUAUUGGGCCUAAAACGAUCGUAGCCGGUUUAGUAAAUGCCUGGGUAAAUUGUGUAGCUCAACUAUACGACUUCCGGGUAGACUGCUAAACCUGAGACCGGGAGAGGCUAGAGGUACUCCUGGGGUAGAGGUGAAAUUCUGUAAUCCUGGGGGGACCACCAGUGGCGAAGGCGUCUAGCUAGAACGGGUCUGACGGUGAGGAACGAAACCCUGGGGCGCAAACCGGAUUAGAUACCCGGGUAGUCCAGGGCGCAAACGCUGCUUGCUUGAUGUUAGUCGGGCUCCGAGCUCGACUAGUGUCGGAGAGAAGUUGUUAAGCAAGCUGCCUGGGAAGUACGAUCGCAAGACUGAAACUUAAAGGAAUUGGCGGGGGAGCACAGCAACGGGUGGAGCGUGCGGUUUAAUUGGAUUCAACGCCGGAAAACUCACCGGAGGCGACGGUUAUAUGAAGGUCAGGCUGAUGACCUUGCCAGAUUUUCCGAGAGGUGGUGCAUGGCCGCCGUCAGUUCGUACCGCAAGGCGUUCUGUUAAGUCAGACAACGAGCGAGACCC
Molecule: ribosomal RNA, 1046 nt
Filed under: uncultured archaeon 2C84
Lineage: Archaea
Description: bacterial SSU rRNA
Rfam family: Archaeal small subunit ribosomal RNA
Source: RNAcentral